This 620-nucleotide ribosomal RNA is filed under the name Bacteroidales bacterium. RNAcentral describes it as "partial 23S ribosomal RNA". It matches the Rfam family "Bacterial large subunit ribosomal RNA", at positions 1 to 636 of the family's 2925-position model. Lineage: Bacteria; Pseudomonadati; Bacteroidota; Bacteroidia; Bacteroidales. The record is from RNAcentral.
AGAGAAGGUUACAAGAGCGAACGGCGGAUGCCUAGGCUUCUGGAGGCGAUGAAGGACGUGGUAAGCUGCGAAAAGCACCGGGGAACUGCAAACAGGUAUUGAUCCGGUGAUGUCCGAAUGGGGCAACCCGGCACAUUGAAGAUGUGUCACCAGCUAUGCUGGAGCAAACGCGGGGAACUGAAACAUCUCAGUACCCGCAGGAAGAGAAAGAAAUUAUCGAUUCCCUUAGUAGUGGCGAUCGAACGGGGAAGAGCCUAAACCUGUGCUGUUACGGCAGUGCGGGGGUUGUAGGACCGGUCAUAAGAUUAUCGUGAACGAACUGGAACGUUCUGGAAAGUUCGGUCACAGAGGGUGAUAACCCCGUACAGGUAAGUUUAUGAUGACGAGACCGGCACCUGAGUAGGGCGGGACACGUGAAAUCCUGUCUGAAUCCGCGGGGACCAUCCCGCAAGGCUAAAUACUCCCAGAAGACCGAUAGUGUACCAGUACUGUGAAGGAAAGGUGGGAAGCACCCCGCGCAGGGGAGUGAAAUAGAACCUGAAACCGUUCGUUUACAAGCGGUCGGAGCCCGAUAGGGCGACGGCGUGCCUUUUGCAUAAUGAGCCUACGAGUUGCUUCUG